UUAGUGGCGACCGGGUGCGUAACACGUAGCUGACCUGCCCCUCAGCGGGGGACAACAGUUCGAAAGGACUGCUAAUACCGCAUACGCUCGAAGAGCUUAGACGCUCGUCGAGAAAACUUCUGGGGUUGAGGGAGGGAGCUGCGGCCCAUCAGGUAGUUGGUAAGGUAACGGCUUACCAAGCCAUCGACGGGUAGGGGCCUGAGAGGGUGGUCCCCCACACUGGAACUGACAAACGGUCCAG
Molecule: ribosomal RNA, 241 nt
Filed under: uncultured bacterium
Lineage: Bacteria
Description: partial 16S ribosomal RNA
Rfam family: Bacterial small subunit ribosomal RNA
Source: RNAcentral